This 75-nucleotide transfer RNA is filed under the name Acidobacteriota bacterium. RNAcentral's name for it is "Acidobacteria bacterium (soil metagenome) tRNA-Glu". It matches the Rfam family "tRNA". From Rfam's summary of the family: Transfer RNA (tRNA) molecules are approximately 80 nucleotides in length. RNAcentral also lists the same sequence under 1 other name. The record is from RNAcentral. Lineage: Bacteria; Pseudomonadati; Acidobacteriota.
GGUCGGUUCGUCUAGUGGUUAGGACACCGCCCUUUCACGGCGGCGACACGGGUUCAAAUCCCGUACCGACUACCA